RNAcentral lists this ribosomal RNA (276 nucleotides) under uncultured prokaryote. RNAcentral's name for it is "partial 16S ribosomal RNA". It matches the Rfam family "Bacterial small subunit ribosomal RNA", at positions 524 to 798 of the family's 1533-position model. The record is from RNAcentral.
UACGUAGGUGGCGAGCGUUGUCCGGAAUUACUGGGCGUAAAGGGCGCGUAGGCGGAUAUUUAAGUCAGAUGUGAAAAACUCCGGGCUCAACUUGGAGAUUGCAUUUGAAACUGGGUAUCUUGAGGACAGGAGGGGAAAGUGGAAUUCCUAGUGGAGCGGUAAAAUGCGCAGAUAUUAGGAGGAACACCGGUGGCGAAGGCGACUUUCUGGCUGACAACUGACGCUGAGGCGCGAAAGCGUGGGGAGCAAACAGGAUUAGAUACCCGUGUAGUCCCU